Molecule: long non-coding RNA, 693 nt
Organism: Clupea harengus (Atlantic herring)
Lineage: Eukaryota; Metazoa; Chordata; Actinopteri; Clupeiformes; Clupeidae
Source: Ensembl
GGGGGGGAUUUGUCUUACAUACUUAAGUACACUUCUACAUUCUCUGUAUGUGUGGGAUUUUUUUCAGAUUAUGCUGGAACUUGAAGUAGUUGGGGAGGAUGACCACAGUUUUCAGGAGCAUAUUAUUGCCACUAACGAUGAGGUGAGCCAGCCAGACAUCCCCAUUAUAAUGGACAGAAUGAGGCGUACGCUUUACAAGAGGGUGGAGCAUAUGGGGAAGCCGACUGAGGAGGUGAUGGGGAUGUUCCCUUUUCUUCAGGUGCCAGAGCUUUGAGAAGAAGUACCAAGAAGGUAUGUCUGAGAUGCAUAAGCGUUCCAUUCGGAGAAGUGCACAAAGAUUCAUGAUGCAGGGCAGUUGCAUGUAUCUGAAGCCCAAGGAUGGAGAGCCACCAAGGAGGGUCAUCUUGUCUGACGAGGAGAGGGAUGGUGUGCUGGCGGAGGUCCACGCCGGCCACUUUGGAGUGAAGCGCAUGAUGGGGAAGAUCAAUCAGCGCUUCUGACGUGGCAUGGUCCGUACCUGCGUGCCUUGUCAAAAGUUUGAGAAGGUGAAGACCGAGGCACCAGAGCUGAAGAGCAUUAAGUUAGCGUCACCUUGGUACAUGAUCGCAAGGUGUGGACCUCAUCGGACCGCUCAAGGCCUCUUCAAAGAAUCAGAAUCGGUACCGUCUUACCGCAACCGAUUUCUUCACCAAG